RNAcentral lists this ribosomal RNA (361 nucleotides) under uncultured bacterium. Its description in RNAcentral is "bacterial SSU rRNA". It matches the Rfam family "Bacterial small subunit ribosomal RNA", at positions 30 to 416 of the family's 1533-position model. The record is from RNAcentral.
AUUGAACGCUGGCGGUAUGCUUAAGACAUGCAAGUCGGACGGGGUGCUUCGGCACUCAGUGGCGGACGGGUGAGUAACACGUGGGAAUCUGCCCAGUAGUGGGGGACAGCCCGGAGAAAUCCGGAUUAAUACCGCAUACGCCUACGGGGAAAGGCAGCAAUGCGCUAUUGGAUGAGCCGCCGUUAGAUUAGCUGGUUGGUGGGGUAAAGGCCACCAAGGCGACGAUCUAUAGCUGGUCUGAGAGGAUGGCCAGCCACAUUGGGACUGAGACACGGCCCAGACUCCUACGGGAGGCAGCAGUCGGGAAUAUUGGACAAUGGGCGCAAGCCUGAUCCAGCAAUACCGCGUGUGUGAGAAGGCC